Molecule: ribosomal RNA, 459 nt
Filed under: uncultured bacterium
Lineage: Bacteria
Description: partial 16S ribosomal RNA
Rfam family: Bacterial small subunit ribosomal RNA
Source: RNAcentral
CUACGGGGCGCUCCAGUGAGGAAUAUUGGUCAAUGGGCGAGAGCCUGAACCAGCCAAGUCGCGUGAAGGAAGAAUGUCCUAUGGAUUGUAAACUUCUUUUAUACGGGAAUAAAAAGGGCGACGAGUCGCCCGUUGCAUGUACCGUAUGAAUAAGGAUCGGCUAACUCCGUGCCAGCAGCCGCGGUAAUACGGAGGAUCCGAGCGUUAUCCGGAUUUAUUGGGUUUAAAGGGUGCGUAGGCGGUUCCUUAAGUCAGCGUUGAAAGUUUGCGGCUCAACCGUAAAACCGGCAUUGAAACUGAGGGACUAGAGUGUAAAUGAAGUGGGCGGAAUUCGUUGUGGAGCGGUGAAAUGCAUAGAUAUAACGAAGAACUCCGAUUGCGAAGGCAGCUCACUAACAUACAACUGACGCUGAGGCACGAAAGCGUGGGGAUCAAGCAGGAUUAGAUACCCCGGUAGUC